Molecule: long non-coding RNA, 363 nt
Organism: Lolium perenne
Lineage: Eukaryota; Viridiplantae; Streptophyta; Magnoliopsida; Poales; Poaceae
Source: RefSeq, a predicted model, not a curated record
GGCAUCGACGACGGAUACUACAAACUUGCCUCCUAGUCUUCUUGACAGCCCUAUGCCUGUUACGAGGAGGAGACUUGCUAUGGCCAUGGCCGAAGGUGGCGCAUCACCGCCACCAGUCACAACUACUACAUCUCCGGCUGCGCCUAGUUUUGAUGUGCCUUCAAGUUCCAAUGCAUCCAAGAAAAAAUUAACUCCAAGGAGGAGGAAAGAAUGAUUUUAUUGAGUCAAGACUCUCUUUUCGAUUCUAAGAUAGAUGUGUUGCCUUUCUUUGUUUGUUGAAUAAUGCACACAGAAUUUAUUAUUUUGACUAUUUUAAACUCUGAAUUAUGAGUUGGUGAUCUAUCGUGUGAUGAAUUAUGUCAA